UCGUCACACUAUCAUUAACUGAAUCCAUAGGUUAAUGAGGCGAACCGGGGGAACUGAAACAUCUAAGUACCCCGAGGAAAAGAAAUCAACCGAGAUUCCCCCAGUAGCGGCGAGCGAACGGGGAGGAGCCCAGAGCCUGAAUCAGCAUGUGUGUUAGUGGAAGCGUCUGGAAAGGCGCGCGAUACAGGGUGACAGCCCCGUACACAAAAGCGCAUGUGCUGUGAGCUCGAUGAGUAGGGCGGGACACGUGGUAUCCUGUCUGAAUAUGGGGGGACCAUCCUCCAAGGCUAAAUACUCCUGACUGACCGAUAGUGAACCAGUACCGUGAGGGAAAGGCGAAAAGAACCCCGGCGAGGGGAGUGAAAAAGAACCUGAAACCGUGUACGUACAAGCAGUGGGAGCACAGGUUUACCUG
RNAcentral lists this ribosomal RNA (415 nucleotides) under Salmonella enterica subsp. enterica serovar Derby. RNAcentral describes it as "partial 23S ribosomal RNA". It matches the Rfam family "Bacterial large subunit ribosomal RNA", at positions 140 to 591 of the family's 2925-position model. Lineage: Bacteria; Pseudomonadati; Pseudomonadota; Gammaproteobacteria; Enterobacterales; Enterobacteriaceae. RNAcentral also lists the same sequence under 2 other names. The record is from RNAcentral.